AAUAUUGGACAAUUGGCGAAAGCCUGAACCAGCCAUGCCGGGUGUGUGAAGAAUGNCUNNGGAUGNUNAAACACUUUAAGGUGNNNNNAAGGGGUUGAGGCUGAUACCUUCAGUAGUUUACGUUCCGAACAGAAGAAGCACCGGACAACUCUGUGCCAGCAGCCGCGGUAAUACGGAGGGUGCAAGCGUUAAUCGGAAUUAGUUGGCGUAAAGCGGGCGUAGGUGGUCCCGUAAGGUGGAAGUUAAAUCCCCGGGCUUAACCUGGGAACUGCUUUUAAAACUGCUGCGCUAGAGUACGGUAGAGGGUAGUGGAAUUUGCUGUGUAGCGGUGAAAUGCGUAGAUAUAGGAAAGAACACCAGUGGCGAAGGCGACUAACUGGACUGAUACUGACACUGAGGUGCGAAAGCGUGGGGAGCAAACA
This 422-nucleotide ribosomal RNA is filed under the name uncultured bacterium. RNAcentral's name for it is "partial 16S ribosomal RNA". It matches the Rfam family "Bacterial small subunit ribosomal RNA", at positions 360 to 774 of the family's 1533-position model. The record is from RNAcentral.